This 1245-nucleotide long non-coding RNA is filed under the name Equus asinus (donkey). Its description in RNAcentral is "lncRNA (ENSEASG00005034508.1)". Lineage: Eukaryota; Metazoa; Chordata; Mammalia; Perissodactyla; Equidae. The record is from RNAcentral.
AAACCCAAGAAAAGCCUCUGAGCAUAUUGUGAAAUGGCAUGUAACCACAUGUAACUGAUGACUGCCAGUUAGAACCUUCAGCUUUUCUAAAUCUCUCUUCUCACAAGUUGUGGUGGGUCAGGGUUCCUAAACUUGUCUGCACAUUGGAAUCACCUGGGGAGCUUAAAAAAAAAGAGGAAGAAAGUGAUCUCUGUGUUCUACAUCACCCAAUUGUGAGUUAAUUGGUUUAAGGUGUGACCUGGGUGCUCCUAGUUUUAAAAGGUCCCCAGACGAUUCAAAUCUACAGACAAAUCCCACCAUCAGUAUCCCUGUGGUAGAUAGUAUUCAAAGAUGGCAGCCAUGACUACCUCUCUCUUUCUGGACACAUGCCAUUCAUCAGAGACUAUUCUAAGAUGCAGGAAUAAUACCAUCUACCUGGAGGUGGCCUGGAAGACUGCACAGCUAGCUGUGUGGGUGGUGAAGCUAUUGCCAGCUCAGUUACACACUCCCUCUUGUUUACUUUCCUUUUGGUCCUGCUUCACUCUUGCUUCACUGAGAUUACAUCCCACUACCGCCACCUCCACCAAAAAUUAGCAUGCAGUCUUUUGUCUCAUCUUUUUAUGAUGGAUGCUACCUGUGUGCUGCCUGGCUUUGUUGUGACACUCUGCCUGUCCUGCCUCCUCAAGACCAGAUUCUCAUGCUCCAGGUCUUCCUCCCGUAAUAGAUUAUCUAUUAAACUACACCCACCAGGCCUGAGUCAUUUGAAAUCUGAUUCUGAUGAUGAUUGGGAUGGACACAAACUGACCAAUUUAUCUUAGAAUGGGUCUACGCUAUUGCAGAAUCUUUCAAAAGACACUCAGUAGUGGACAGGUGAAGGUGGAAGAAAGGAUUCUCCCUAUUUAUUUCAACAUGUGUUGGCUGGCCUACCUGUUUGUAAACAGUCCCCUGCCAUCCUGUGAGCCAAAUGACGGAGAAAUGGGCUUAGAAUUGAGGGGAAAAUGCUUCCACAUUUUGUGAGCAAUAAGAAAAGGAAAGGAACAAGUAAUGUGAUUCUUUAAAGGUUAAAUAGAGUAAUACCUCCCAACUCAGCUUUGCUGGAGAAAGAGCUGCUCCAUAAGUGAAUUUUAAAGAAAGAUUUUAAGCACCAAAAACUUUGUAAAAACCUAUUUUGACCAUUAUAAGAUUGAAAUCUUUCUAAGAUGUAUUGCACACUCUCCUGCUUUGCUUUCUGAAUCAGAGCUCUCCUAACAUCAGCUAUUUCCUUAG